GGGGUUUUAGCUCAGUGGUAGAGCACUUGCCUAGCAAGCGCAAGGCCCUGGGUUCGGUCCCCAGCUCCG
Molecule: non-coding RNA, 69 nt
Organism: Rattus norvegicus (Norway rat)
Lineage: Eukaryota; Metazoa; Chordata; Mammalia; Rodentia; Muridae
Source: Rfam